RNAcentral lists this ribosomal RNA (269 nucleotides) under uncultured prokaryote. RNAcentral's name for it is "partial 16S ribosomal RNA". It matches the Rfam family "Bacterial small subunit ribosomal RNA", at positions 524 to 792 of the family's 1533-position model. The record is from RNAcentral.
UACGGAGGGGGCGAGCGUUGUUCGGAAUUACUGGGCGUAAAGGGUGCGUAGGCGGCCUUUCAAGUCGGAUGUGAAAUCCCCCGGCUCAACCGGGGAAUUGCGUCCGAUACUGUUGGGCUUGAGUACAGGAUGAGAGAGCGGAAUUCCCAGUGUAGCGGUGAAAUGCGUAGAUAUUGGGAGGAACACCGGUGGCGAAAGCGGCUCUCUGGCCUGAUACUGACGCUGAGGCACGAAAGCUAGGGUAGCAAACGGGAUUAGAUACCCGCGUA